UUCUCUUGUAGAGGAUAUUGAAGAAUAAGAUCCAAGCAUUCUGCCCUGGCCAGAUGGGUCAACUGGGGAUAUGAUAGAACUAUUUUGGACACCAAAAGGGGUGAAUUUUACUCUAGUCUAGGAGUGGGUCACCAAGGACCUCCUGGAGUCAGAGCAGAAGAACAGCACAGUGGGAAGCGCGUGUUACUGAUUCAGAGCUAGGUAACGAAGAGAAGACAAUCUCUAAUCGAGGCUUCAACAGUAAGAAAGUAGAUUUAAUUUGAAAGCCCAAGGAGUUCAGAUUCAUUCAUUUCAGCUAUGUGCUGAGGGUCUGUUAAAUCAGGUAUUGUUCUUGGUGUCAGGGUACGGCACCUAUAAUUAGACACACAAAGUCCUUACUUUGAGGAACUAUGUCUCCACUUGGGUCUCUUUCUAAAACUUAGCCAAUAUUGUACUCCUGAAAGGCCUCAGAAUGCUUUCAUGUGUAGGCUUUAUGUAAUAGAGUUUUUAGUUAAUGUUUUAUUCCUUAUAGCCUAUAUUUAUAUAUUAAAGGUAGACGUAUAAUACAUACAGUUAUAUGUAUAAUUUCUGGAUCCUAGCAGCCAACACAUAAUAGUGGUCCUUACUGUUGAACAUUUGCUAAAUUGUUUCAGUGGGUAAGGUACUA
Long non-coding RNA from Myotis davidii, 646 nucleotides. RefSeq lists it as uncharacterized. Lineage: Eukaryota; Metazoa; Chordata; Mammalia; Chiroptera; Vespertilionidae. The transcript has 3 exons. The record is from RefSeq and is a predicted model, not a curated record.